GCCGCGGUGGGGGAAAGAAGCCCUUCGGGGUGUAAACCCCUUUCGGGCCGGACGAAGCGGUAGGGGGUUAACAGCCCCCUACCGUGACGGUACGGCCAGAAGAAGGGACGGCUAACUACGUGCCAGCAGCCGCGGUAAUACGUAGGUCCCGAACGUUGCGCGA
This 163-nucleotide ribosomal RNA is filed under the name uncultured Aquifex sp. RNAcentral describes it as "partial 16S ribosomal RNA". It matches the Rfam family "Bacterial small subunit ribosomal RNA", at positions 396 to 548 of the family's 1533-position model. The record is from RNAcentral. Lineage: Bacteria; Pseudomonadati; Aquificota; Aquificia; Aquificales; Aquificaceae.